GACGAACGCUGGCGGCGUGCUUAACACAUGCAAGUCGAACGGGCCCGCCCCUGUUUUUGGGGGUGGGUUGAGUGGCGAACGGGUGAGUAUCACGUGAGUAACCUGCCCCCUGCUCCUGGAUAACUGCUUGAAAGGGCGGCUAAUACGGGGUGUGCCGGCUGGUCCGCAUGGGCCUGGUCGGGAUAGUUUCAUCUUCGGGUGUUUCGGUGGGGGAUGGGCUCGCGGCCUAUCAGCUUGUUGGUGGGGUGAUGGCCCACCAAGGCGGUGACGGGUAGCCGGCAUGAGAGGGUGGGCGGCCACACUGGGACUGAGACACGGCCCAGACUCCUGCGGGAGGCAGCAGUGGGGGUAUUGCACAAUGGGCGGAAGCCUGAAGCAGCGACGUCGCGUGAGGGAUGGAGGCCUUCGGGUUGUGAACCUCUUUCUCCGGUGGUGAAGGCCCUGUCCGUUGCGGCGGGGUUGACGGUAGCCGGGUAUGAAGCGCCGGCUAACUACGUG
Molecule: ribosomal RNA, 498 nt
Filed under: uncultured bacterium
Lineage: Bacteria
Description: partial 16S ribosomal RNA
Rfam family: Bacterial small subunit ribosomal RNA
Source: RNAcentral